GUGCUCACUUUGACAACACCAAUAUUACCACUGGAAUGAUGUAAGAAAAUUAGGAAGGCCUCUAUGUAAGACUGAUAGGCAAUUUUGAGAAGAGUUCUGUAUUUUU
This 106-nucleotide small nuclear RNA is filed under the name Notamacropus eugenii (tammar wallaby). Lineage: Eukaryota; Metazoa; Chordata; Mammalia; Diprotodontia; Macropodidae. The record is from RNAcentral.